AUUGAACGCUGGCGGCAGGCCUAACACAUGCAAGUCGAGCGGAUGAAGGGAGCUUGCUCCUGGAUUCAGCGGCGGACGGGUGAGUAAUGCCUAGGAAUCUGCCUGGUUGUGGGGUAUAACGUCCGGAAACGGGCGCUAAUACCGCAUACGUCCUUAGGGAGAAAGUGGGGGAUCUUCGGACCUCUCGCUAUCAGAUGUGCCUAGGUCGGAUUAGCUAGUUGUUUGGGUAAAGGCCUACCAAGGCGACGAUCCGUAACUGGUCUGAGAGGAUGAUCAGUCACACGGGAACUGAGACACGGUCCAGACAACUACGGGAGGAAGCAGUGGGGAAUAUUGGACAAUGGGGGAAAGCAUGAUACAGCAAUGCCGCGUGUGAGAAGAAGGUCUUCGGAUUGUAAAGCACUUUAAGUUGGGAGGAAGGGCAGUAAGUUAAUACCUUGAUGUAUUGACGUUACCAAAAGAAGAAGCACCGGCUAACUACGUG
This 484-nucleotide ribosomal RNA is filed under the name uncultured bacterium. Its description in RNAcentral is "partial 16S ribosomal RNA". It matches the Rfam family "Bacterial small subunit ribosomal RNA", at positions 30 to 507 of the family's 1533-position model. The record is from RNAcentral.